CGGACGGGUGAGUAACGCGUGAGAAUCUGCCAAAAGGACGGGGACAACAGGGGGAAACCGCUGCUAAAACCCGAUGUGCCGGAAGGUAAAAAAUUUAUUGCCUUUUGAUGAGCUCGCGUCAGAUUAGCUAGUUGGUGAGGUAAAGGCUCACCAAGGCGACGAUCUGUAGCUGGUCUGAGAGGACGACCAGCCACACUGGGACUGAGACACGGCCCAGACUCCUACGGGAGGCAGCAGUGGGGAAUUUUCCGCAAUGGGCGAAAGCCUGACGGAGCCAGACCGCGUGGGGGAGGAAGGCUCUUGGAUUGUAAACCCCUUUUCUCAGGGAAGAAAAAAAUGACGGUACCUGAGGAAUCAGCAUCGGCUAACUCCGUGCCAGCAGCCGCGGUAAUACGGAGGAGGCAAGCGUUAUCCGGAAUGAUUGGGCGUAAAGCGUCCGCAGGUGGCUUAUCAAGUCUGCUGUCAAAGAGCAAGGCUCAACCUUGUCAAGGCAGUGGAAACUGAAAAGCUAGAGUGUGGUAGGGGUAGAGGGAAUUCCCAGGUGUAGCGGUGAAAUGCGUAGAGAUCGGGAAGAACAUCGGUGGCGAAAGCGCUCUACUGGACCUGCACUGACACUGAGGGACGAAAGCUAGGGGAGCGAAUGGGAUUAGAUACCCCAGUAGUC
RNAcentral lists this ribosomal RNA (664 nucleotides) under uncultured cyanobacterium. RNAcentral describes it as "bacterial SSU rRNA". It matches the Rfam family "Bacterial small subunit ribosomal RNA", at positions 99 to 795 of the family's 1533-position model. The record is from RNAcentral. Lineage: Bacteria; Bacillati; Cyanobacteriota.